AUUGUAGAGGCACCAUCAAGGAGAUCCGAUAAAGUACUAUGUCCAUCAGAUAGAUACUUUGAUUUUUAGUUUCGGAUGUGAUCCUAUUAAACUCAAUGAGAACAACAAGGAUCUAAUCACCUACAUGGUGCCAUAUAGAAGUCUGACUUCAAUUAAUGGCUUGGAGCCAUAAAGUUCGAAAUGAUUCCACAAAGGUCAACGGUGUAUGGAUACUCAUUGAUCUACUUGAAGGGAUAAAAUUCAUAGGGUGUAAAUGGAUCUUCAAUAGGAUCAGAAGGCGC
This 281-nucleotide long non-coding RNA is filed under the name Elaeis guineensis (African oil palm). RNAcentral's name for it is "long non-coding RNA (EGUI_LNC073256)". Lineage: Eukaryota; Viridiplantae; Streptophyta; Magnoliopsida; Arecales; Arecaceae. The record is from RNAcentral.